This 583-nucleotide ribosomal RNA is filed under the name Hemilepistus reaumurii. Its description in RNAcentral is "partial large subunit ribosomal RNA". It matches the Rfam family "Eukaryotic large subunit ribosomal RNA", at positions 157 to 531 of the family's 3401-position model. The record is from RNAcentral. Lineage: Eukaryota; Metazoa; Arthropoda; Malacostraca; Isopoda; Agnaridae.
GUGAUCGAGGGAAUGCCAGACCCGACUCGAAGUAUGUACUGAAAGUCGUCCCGCAGACCGUAGAGGGUGUAAGUCCCGUAGGGUCGCGUCGUCUGGCGGUUCCCGCCGGUCGCUCUCGAGAGUCGGGUUGCUCCGAAAUGCAGCCUUAAGAUAGGUGGUAAACUCCAUCUAAAGCUAAAUAUCCCCACGAGACCGAUAGAAAACAAGUACCGCGAGGGAAAGUUGAAAAGAACUCUGAAGAGAGAGUCCAAAGCACGUGAAGCUUCCACGAGCCUAAAGCGAGUGAGGGAUUGUUCCCGAAAAGGUAAAUGACAGACAGAACCCCAAGUGCCGUUCGGUGGGGUCGCGAGUCGCCUUUUAAAUGGAUCUAUCCCGAACGUCGAAGGCCUCAGCGUCUCGGCUUCGUGGGUAGACCGGCGUUCCCUCCUGGGCGGUACGUAAGGGUCUGUUACUUUCCUUAGUAGGUCGUAGUGGCCGUUCGAGAGGUGUCGAAGACCCGGGGGCAUGGAAACCGUAUCUUCUGGGCGUUCCCACUGUCCUUUUCUGUCUAGCUACUACUUUAGUAGUGUUAGAAAAAGAAAGG